GGCCGCAGCUGGAGCGCGGCGGGGCGCGGGCAGCCUGCGCUGCCGGCUAUGUUUGGAAACUUGAACGCCAGAUCGCGCCCUCACCCUCCUCCCCGGCCGCGCUGCCGACCCCCCGCCGCGGCACCGCGGCCAGGGCGCGCAUGCACAGUUGCCGUCGUGGUGGCGGUGUGAUCCCAGUGACAGAAUGACACAGUUUUUGUAAGCCUGUGACUGCAUCAGAAGCUCUUCCACUUUUGAUUUGUUUAAACCAGCCAUGUUUGCCAAGUGUUUAAGGUUGGGCUGGGAAAGAUAGUGCUGUGAAUUGCUCAAGGGUGUAGGAGAGGCCAGGCAGGUGAGUAAUCGCUGUGAUCUCAUCUCGCUAAUGCAAAGGGACAUAGGAUUUCCCCGGCGUUGUGAGAACGCACAGCUUUUUUUUUUUUUUUUUUUUUUUUUUUUUUUUUUUUUUUUUUUUUCUUUUUUCUUUUUUUUUCUUUUUCUAUUUCCCCCUUUAAAUAGCUAGCUAACAUUUGCAUAACACUGUUAACAGGCAAAUUACUCAAAACAACCUCGGUUCAUGCAAAUAAGCCGAGAAUUCAUUUCACUGGCAGGAAAACAAAAUAAAACCCCCUAAGCUUGCCUUCUCCCUCCCGCGAUCCCCGAAGUUGCCCGCUCCCCGCCCGGUCCCGCGGCCACGCCGGUGCCCGUGUUGGCCAGGAGGGGCUCUGCAGAACCCACUUUUGCUCUCGUUGCAGUCGGCGGCUGUUUUUGCAAACAUCGACAUCGCUGCCUGCGUCCAAAGAAUAAUAAAUUGUCACCGGGGGGACGCGGUUCGGCCGGGACCCGGCGCGGUGCGCUGCGGGCGGCCACCGGCAGCGCGUCACUGGCGCUCAGCCGGGUGCACGGUGCCCGCGGAGACAGCGCGCAGCGGGGGAGGGGGUACAUGGGGUGGGGGGAAGCGCUCGCACGCUCGGCGAACGCGGAACCUCUCCCAGCUGGGCUGUGUUGGAUGGAUUUCUUUCUUUCAGUACCUCUUCCUGAUUCCUUUGUUGCCAGAAACGCCGAAACCCCCGUCCACUGCAGGUUUCCCUCUGUGCUUUAAAAUGACUUAGUGUUUCUAUGGCGAGGUGCCCGGCUCCCUUAUACCGGCAGCUAUGGAGCACCGACUCGGAAAGAUACCUUCUAUUCGAUUAAUAACGUUUUGGAACACACACGACAAAAUACCUUCCUUUCAGUAUUUCAUAUCACCAAUACGUGUCAUUUCCAUUUUUAGUUGUCUAAAGCAUUUUAUACGUGUCUGGUUCUAAUCUAGAAAGCUGGCAAAUGAGUUUGAUUAUAUAUAUGUGGAAUUAUUUUAUAGGGAAGGCUUAAUGAAAUGCACACGUUGAAGUUACAGAAAUGGUAGGACCAGAUAAAAUACAGUUAGAAAAUCAAUUGUGACAAAGUGACUCUUUCUUUCAGGGUUAAAAAAGACUACUUACUGCUUCUACUUAGUGUAGAAGCAGUAAGCAGAGAUAGAAAAGUCUUCGAAUUAUGUGAGUCUCCUGUAUGCAAAUUGGCUGAAGAAGAUGCGCUAAAGAGGAGUGGAUUUCACACUUAGAAAUUUCACACCUAAACUGUGGACAUUACAGAAGCUUCACAGAAGCAUGGCAGAUGAAAGCUGGUCAAAGUAAAAGUCUUUGCUUCCAGCCACAGUGAUUUAGUGAUGGCUGCAGGAUUUCUACAUCAAUAUGUCUUUACUUGACUAAACAAGCAUGUGUUCCCUCUGAUUCAUACUGGAAUGUCAUCUCCUUUCCUAUCCUUUUACUGCCCCAUGUUGAUCUUCAUAUGAGGAGCAGAACUGGGCUGUGGUAAAAGGUCAGCCUCAGCUUAAAAAACUCGGGUUGAGAGAGCUGAAGCUUUGCCUUCAUCCCGCAUGUCUGGGAAUGCAGAACUGCAGCAUAUCCUGACUGCAUUUCAGUCCCCGGGUUACACAAAUCCAACACAUGACAAGGCACUCCGUGUGCUUGAACUACCCCUCACCCUGGAUCCUUCCUCCGCCGAAUCCUCCUGCAAGAAAGCCCUUUUUUGGUAAACUCACCUCACAGGAACAGACUUCUUGGCUCACAAAAACAGUCUUUAUAGUGGGUGUAAAUAAUAAUCACCUUAGAUAUAAUCUAGCCUCAGAAAACCAUUUACAGGUGCUGUCAACUCCCUUUAUAGUUUGUGAAUAGAAAAAGAGAGAGAUUAGCAUCUGUGACCCGACCAAACUGCCUUUACUCUUACUUGCAGGAUACACAGUUGCGGAAAUAUGUUUGUCUUUCCGUAAUGAUUAAACUUUGAUUUAAACUUUGGUCAUGGGCACGUACUGUACCAUUACGCAAGCAGCACUUAAGGAUGAAGUGUCAGCAUAGCAACAAUAUGGCCAGCAGCAGCAGUGAUCUCUGCAAAGCUGAUUGAUGAAGAGAACUGCAAUGUAAAUGCAAAUAAAUGCCACGCUGUGGCACCUUCACAGGGAA
Molecule: long non-coding RNA, 2474 nt
Organism: Parus major (Great Tit)
Lineage: Eukaryota; Metazoa; Chordata; Aves; Passeriformes; Paridae
Exons: 2
Source: RefSeq, a predicted model, not a curated record